UACGGAGGGUGCGAGCGUUGUCCGGAAUCAUUGGGCGUAAAGGGCGCGUAGGUGGCCCGGUCAGUCUUUGGUGAAAGCGCGGGGCUCAACCCUGCGUCGGCCAGGGAUACUGCCGCGGCUCGAGCACUGUAGAGGCAGGCGGAAUUCCGGGUGUAGCGGUGAAAUGCUUAGAUAUGUCACAGAACACCGAUAGCGAAGGCAGCUCACUAGACUAACAUUGACGCUCAUGCACGAAAGCGUGGGGAGCGAACAGG
RNAcentral lists this ribosomal RNA (254 nucleotides) under uncultured bacterium. RNAcentral describes it as "partial 16S ribosomal RNA". It matches the Rfam family "Bacterial small subunit ribosomal RNA", at positions 524 to 776 of the family's 1533-position model. The record is from RNAcentral.